This 466-nucleotide ribosomal RNA is filed under the name uncultured bacterium. RNAcentral's name for it is "partial 16S ribosomal RNA". It matches the Rfam family "Bacterial small subunit ribosomal RNA", at positions 28 to 507 of the family's 1533-position model. The record is from RNAcentral.
GACGAACGCUGGCGGCGUGCUUAACACAUGCAAGUCGAACGGAAAGGCCCUGCUUGCAGGGUACUCGAGUGGCGAACGGGUGAGUGACACGUGGGUGAUCUGCCCUGCACUUCGGGAUAAGCUUGGGAAACUGGGUCUAAUACCGGAUAGGAGCCAUCUUUAGUGUGGUGGUUGGAAAGUUUUUUCGGUGUAGGAUGAGCUCGCGGCCUAUCAGCUUGUUGGUGGGGUAAUGGCCUACCAAGGCGGCGACGGGUAGCCGGCCUGAGAGGGUGUACGGCCACAUUGGGACUGAGAUACGGCCCAGACUCCUACGGGAGGCAGCAGUGGGGAAUAUUGCACAAUGGGCGCAAGCCUGAUGCAGCGACGCCGCGUGGGGGAUGAAGGCCUUCGGGUUGUAAACUCCUUUCGCUAGGGACGAAGCUUUGUUGUGACGGUACCUAGAUAAGAAGCACCGGCUAACUACGUG